GCAGUCGAACGGUAACAGGAAGUACUUGUACUUUGCUGACGAGUGGCGCACGGGUGAGUAAUAUAUAGGUUACGUGCCUCUUAGACUGGGAUAGCCACUGGAAACGGUGAUUAAUACURGAUACUCCUACUUGUAGGGAAAGCUUUUGCGCUAAGAGAUCGGCCUAUACUGUAUCAGCUUGUUGGUGAGGUAAUGGCUCACCAAGGCGAUGACACAUAGCGGGUUUGAGAGGAUGAUCCGCCACACUGGUACUGAGACACGGACCAGACUCCUACGGGAGGCAGCAGUGAGGAAUAUUGCACAAUGGGGGGAACCCUGAUGCAGCAACGCCGCGUGGAGGAUGACGCAUUUCGGYGUGUAAACUCCUUUUAUCAGAGAAGAAAAUGACGGUAUCUGAUGAAUAAGCUCCGGCUAACUCCGUGCCAGCAGCCGCGGUAAUACGGAGGGAGCAAGCGUUAUUCGGAAUCACUGGGCGUAAAGGACGCGUAGGCGGGUUAUUAAGUCUGAUGUGAAAUCCUAUGGCUCAACCAUAGWACUGCAUUGGAAACUGAUAACCUASAGUAUGGAAGGGGAAAAUGGAAUUAGUGGUG
Molecule: ribosomal RNA, 590 nt
Filed under: uncultured bacterium
Lineage: Bacteria
Description: bacterial SSU rRNA
Rfam family: Bacterial small subunit ribosomal RNA
Source: RNAcentral